RNAcentral lists this unclassified non-coding RNA (337 nucleotides) under soil metagenome. RNAcentral's name for it is "partial contains 5.8S ribosomal RNA, internal transcribed spacer 2, and large subunit ribosomal RNA". The stretch from base 1 to 120 matches the Rfam family "5.8S ribosomal RNA", at positions 35 to 154 of the family's 154-position model. The record is from RNAcentral.
GAUGAAGAACGCAGCGAAAUGCGAUAAGUAGUGUGAAUUGCAGAAUUCAGUGAAUCAUCGAAUCUUUGAACGCUCAUUGCGCCCCUUGGUAUUCCAUGGGGCAUGCCUGUUCGAGCGUCAUUUGUACCUUCAAGCUCUGCUUGGUGUUGGGUGUUUGUCUCGCCUCUGCGUGUAGACUCGCCUCAAAACAAUUGGCAGCCGGCGUAUUGAUUUCGGAGCGCAGUACAUCUCGCGCUUUGCACUCAUAACGACGACGUCCAAAAGUACAUUUUUACACUCUUGACCUCGGAUCAGGUAGGGAUACCCGCUGAACUUAAGCAUAUCAAUAAGCGGAGGA